RNAcentral lists this ribosomal RNA (185 nucleotides) under uncultured eukaryote. RNAcentral's name for it is "partial 18S ribosomal RNA". It matches the Rfam family "Eukaryotic small subunit ribosomal RNA", at positions 1299 to 1458 of the family's 1831-position model. The record is from RNAcentral.
UGGUGGAGUGAUUUGUCUGGUUAAUUCCGAUAACGAACGAGACUCUGUCCUGCUAACUAGGUUGUGUUUUCUCGGGUUGGUGUUAUGGUGUUCCUUCUCGGGGCGCCGGCCCAAUCCACUUGUGAACACAACACUCUUCUUAGAGGGACUGGCGGCUGUUAGCCGCACGAGAUAGAGCAAUAACA